AUGAUAGACGGUGGCUGCCAUGUGUUUUGCUGCAACCAAGAAUCAUUUUUCUACAACCAGCCAAAGCAGAGCUGGAACCGGCGAGAUUUUUUGUUUGCACGCAUCCGCGGCAGUGCAUUUUUUUGCUGGAACUGUGAUAAUUUUUUGCUGGAACUGUUUUUGGUUUUUGCUACCACAAGAGAAAUCCCCUUUCCUAUCCGUGGGCUUUUUUUGCUGAAAUACGGUGGUGGAAGCCGACGUCGGCGGCGAGUAGAGACGGCAGCGGCGGGAGGUGGUGCAACCACGAUGCCAGUUCUUGGAACAAAGCGGAUGAAGAGAUGCAAACGACAGAAUCUCGAAUCUUCCUAG
RNAcentral lists this ribosomal RNA (348 nucleotides) under Triticum aestivum (bread wheat). RNAcentral's name for it is "partial small subunit ribosomal RNA". The record is from RNAcentral. Lineage: Eukaryota; Viridiplantae; Streptophyta; Magnoliopsida; Poales; Poaceae.